UUUACAGUGAACCACGGUGAUUUGGUGGUGGAGACAUGGCAUUCAUGGACUCAGAAGGAAGUAGUGAUGCUGAUUAUCAAUCUUCAUUGGCUUUAACCCAGAAAAUUAUCAGCAUCUCAAGGAUCAUGACCCACAGAAUACUCCCUAAAAGUGACGCUUACAGAAUGUUGUCAAAGACAGAGCUAUGGCAGCUGCUAAUCCAUGCUCCUGCCCACACUUGGACUAAGGUGCUGCUGCUGGUCCAUAGAUCACACAUUGAGAGGCUGAAGAAUAGAGAGCUUCCACUAUUCUCUUCUGAGGCCCUCAAAUUCAUUCCAAUUUCUGGGCCCAGUGGUGAGGAUGAUUAUAAGGUGAAGAGUUGGACAAAUGUGGUCAAGAGCUGCUGUCAGCCCUAUACUCCACCAUGGAGAAUACGCAAGUGA
This 422-nucleotide long non-coding RNA is filed under the name Vulpes vulpes (red fox). RNAcentral's name for it is "lncRNA (ENSVVUG00000023293.1)". The record is from RNAcentral. Lineage: Eukaryota; Metazoa; Chordata; Mammalia; Carnivora; Canidae.